Molecule: ribosomal RNA, 429 nt
Filed under: Actinomycetes bacterium
Lineage: Bacteria; Bacillati; Actinomycetota; Actinomycetes
Description: Actinobacteria bacterium partial 16S ribosomal RNA
Rfam family: Bacterial small subunit ribosomal RNA
Source: RNAcentral
UAGGGAAUCUUCCGCAAUGGGCGAAAGCCUGACGGAGCAACGCCGCGUGAGUGAUGAAGGUCUUCGGAUCGUAAAACUCUGUUAUUAGGGAAGAACAAAUGUGUAAGUAACUAUGCACGUCUUGACGGUACCUAAUCAGAAAGCCACGGCUAACUACGUGCCAGCAGCCGCGGUCAUACGUAGGUGGCAAGCGUUAUCCGGAAUUAUUGGGCGUAAAGCGCGCGUAGGCGGUUUUUUAAGUCUGAUGUGAAAGCCCACGGCUCAACCGUGGAGGGUCAUUGGAAACUGGAAAACUUGAGUGCAGAAGAGGAAAGUGGAAUUCCAUGUGUAGCGGUGAAAUGCGCAGAAAUAUGGAGGAACACCAGUGGCGAAGGCGACUUUCUGGUCUGUAACUGACGCUGAUGUGCGAAAGCGUGGGGAUCAAACAGG